GACGAACGCUGGCGGCGUGCUUAACACAUGCAAGUCGAACGGAAAGGCCCUGCUUUUGUGGGGUGCUCGAGUGGCGAACGGGUGAGUAACACGUGAGUAACCUGCCCUUGACUUUGGGAUAACUUCAGGAGACUGGGGCUAAUACCGGAUAGGAGCUCCUGCUGCAUGGUGGGGGUUGGAAAGUUUCGGCGGUUGGGGAUGGACUCGCGGCUUAUCAGCUUGUUGGUGGGGUAGUGGCUUACCAAGGCUUUGACGGGUAGCCGGCCUGAGAGGGUGACCGGCCACAUUGGGACUGAGAUACGGCCCAGACUCCUACGGGAGGCAGCAGUGGGGAAUAUUGCACAAUGGGCGGAAGCCUGAUGCAGCAACGCCGCGUGCGGGAUGACGGCCUUCGGGUUGUAAACCGCUUUCGCCUGUGACGAAGCGUGAGUGACGGUAAUGGGUAAAGAAGCACCAGCUAACUACGUG
This 468-nucleotide ribosomal RNA is filed under the name uncultured bacterium. RNAcentral's name for it is "partial 16S ribosomal RNA". It matches the Rfam family "Bacterial small subunit ribosomal RNA", at positions 28 to 507 of the family's 1533-position model. The record is from RNAcentral.